RNAcentral lists this ribosomal RNA (274 nucleotides) under uncultured bacterium. RNAcentral describes it as "partial 16S ribosomal RNA". It matches the Rfam family "Bacterial small subunit ribosomal RNA", at positions 523 to 796 of the family's 1533-position model. The record is from RNAcentral.
AUACAGAGGGAGCAAGCGUUGUUCGGAUUUACUGGGCGUAGAGCGCGCGCAGGCGGGCGGAUAAGUCGGACGAGAAAAUUGUGGGCUCAACCUACAACCUGCGUCCGAAACUGUUCGUCUUGAGUACAGGAGAGGUGAGUGGAAUCGGCAGUGUAGCGGUGAAAUGCGUAGAUAUUGUCGAGAACACCGGUGGCGAAGGCGGCUCACUGGCCUGAUACUGACGCUGAGGCGCGAAAGCGUGGGGAGCAAACAGGAUUAGAUACCCCAGUAGUCC